This 883-nucleotide ribosomal RNA is filed under the name uncultured fungus. Its description in RNAcentral is "eukaryotic LSU rRNA". The stretch from base 522 to 883 matches the Rfam family "Eukaryotic large subunit ribosomal RNA", at positions 1 to 359 of the family's 3401-position model. Lineage: Eukaryota; Fungi. The record is from RNAcentral.
GCACCCGCGGAGCUCGCUCCCGGGGCUACCCUACUCCGGUAGGGUUUAGAGUCGUCGGGCCUCUCGCAGAAGCUCGGUCCUGAACUCCACCCUUGAAUAAACUACCUUUGUUGCUUUGGCGGGCCGUCUCGUGCCAGCGGCUUCGGCUGUUGAGUGCCCGCCAGAGGACCACAACUCUUGUUUUUAGUGAUGUCUGAGUACUAUAUAAUAGUUAAAACUUUCAACAACGGAUCUCUUGGUUCUGGCAUCGAUGAAGAACGCAGCGAAAUGCGAUAAGUAAUGUGAAUUGCAGAAUUCAGUGAAUCAUCGAAUCUUUGAACGCACAUUGCGCCCUCUGGUAUUCCGGGGGGCAUGCCUGUUCGAGCGUCAUUAUAACCACUCAAGCUCUCGCUUGGUAUUGGGGUUCGCGGUUUCGCGGCUCCUAAAAUCAGUGGCGGUGCCUAUCGGCUCUACGCGUAGUAAUACUCCUCGCGAUUGAGUCCGGUAGGUCUACUUGCCAGCAACCCCUAAUUUUUUAAGGUUGACCUCGGAUCAGGUAGGGAUACCCGCUGAACUUAAGCAUAUCAAUAAGCGGAGGAAAAGAAACCAACAGGGAUUACCUCAGUAACGGCGAGUGAAGCGGUAACAGCUCAAAUUUGAAAGCUGGCUCUUUUAGGGUCCGCGUUGUAAUUUGUAGAAGAUGCUUCGGGUGUGGCCCCGGUCUAAGUUCCUUGGAACAGGACGUCAUAGAGGGUGAGAAUCCCGUAUGUGACUGGGUGCUUUCGCUCAUGUGAAGCUCUUUCGACGAGUCGAGUUGUUUGGGAAUGCAGCUCAAAAUGGGUGGUAAAUUUCAUCUAAAGCUAAAUAUUGGCCAGAGACCGAUAGCGCACAAGUAGAGUGAUCG